GCUACCAUGCAGUCGAACGAGCCUUCGGGCUAGUGGCGGACGGGUGAGUAACGCGUGAGAAUCUGCCCUCAGGAGGGGGAUAACGGCUGGAAACGGCCGCUAAUACCCCAUAUGCCGCGAGGUGAAAUGAGAAAUCGCCUGAGGAUGAGCUCGCGUCUGAUUAGCUAGUUGGUGGGGUAAGAGCCUACCAAGGCAUCGAUCAGUAGCUGGUCUGAGAGGAUGAUCAGCCACACUGGGACUGAGACACGGCCCAGACUCCUACGGGAGGCAGCAGUGGGGAAUUUUCCGCAAUGGGCGCAAGCCUGACGGAGCAACGCCGCGUGAGGGAUGAAGGCCUCUGGGCUGUAAACCUCUUUUCUCAAGGAAGAAGAACUGACGGUACUUGAGGAAUAAGCCACGGCUAAUUCCGUGCCAGCAGCCGCGGUAAUACGGGAGUGGCAAGCGUUAUCCGGAAUUAUUGGGCGUAAAGCGUCCGCAGGCGGUCUUGAAAGUCUGUUGUUAAAGCGUGGAGCUCAACUCCAUUUCAGCAAUGGAAACUAGAAGACUAGAGUGUGGUAGGGGCAGAGGGAAUUCCCGGUGUAGCGGUGAAAUGCGUAGAUAUCGGGAAGAACACCAGUGGCGAAGGCGCUCUGCUGGGCCAUAACUGACGCUCAUGGACGAAAGCCAGGGGAGCGAAAGGGAUUAGAUACCCCUGUAGUCCUGGCCGUAAACGAUGAACACUAGGUGUCGGGGGAAUCGACCCCCUCGGUGUCGUAGCCAACGCGUUAAGUGUUCCGCCUGGGGAGUACGCACGCAAGUGUGAAACUCAAAGGAAUUGACGGGGGCCCGCACAAGCGGUGGAGUAUGUGGUUUAAUUCGAUGCAACGCGAAGAACCUUACCAGGGUUUGACAUCCUGCGAAUCUUUUGGAAACAGAAGAGUGCCUUCGGGAGCGCAGAGACAGGUGGUGCAUGGCUGUCGUCAGCUCGUGUCGUGAGAUGUUGGGUUAAGUCCCGCAACGAGCGCAACCCACGUCUUUAGUUGCCAGCAUUGAGUUGGGCACUCUAGAGAGACCGCCGGUGAUAAACCGGAGGAAGGUGUGGAUGACGUCAAGUCAUCAUGCCCCUUACAUCCUGGGCUACACACGUACUACAAUGCUACGGACAGAGGGCAGCAAACUCGCGAGAGCUAGCAAAUCCCAUAAACCGUGGCUCAGUUCAGAUCGUAGGCUGCAACUCGCCUACGUGAAGGAGGAAUCGCUAGUAAUCGCAGGUCAGCAUACUGCGGUGAAUACGUUCCCGGGCCUUGUACACACCGCCCGUCACACCAUGGAAGUUGGCCAUGCCCGAAGUCGUUACUCCAACCCUUGUGGAGGAGGACGCCGAAG
This 1365-nucleotide ribosomal RNA is filed under the name Cyanobium sp. SDEC-6. Its description in RNAcentral is "bacterial SSU rRNA". It matches the Rfam family "Bacterial small subunit ribosomal RNA". The record is from RNAcentral. Lineage: Bacteria; Bacillati; Cyanobacteriota; Cyanophyceae; Synechococcales; Prochlorococcaceae.